UAUCAUGUAGUGCAUUUGGUUUAUGUAAUGCCAACAUAAGAAUUAAUAGCUUCUAUUUGAGAAAUUGUUAACUUUGAAAUUAGAAUGACAUUUAACAAGCAAUUAAAAUGUGGCAUGCUACUUUUCAAACUCUAUUUGAUGUGGUUUUGUUGGAAAAAAAAUAGUGUGCUUUUAGUGUUUUUUGUGUGUGAUAUAUAAAAAUUGGUGUGUAUAUGGAAACUUGGCAAAGGUCUAGUCCUCUGAUAUUUGAUUGCUAUAAUAAUCCCACAAACUUUUUCAAAUGUGAGAUCUCAGUUUAUCAGAUGCUCUAGAAUGUGCUGCCUUGUGGUGUUGUAUUUUCCUAUGACUGCAUUGUUCUUAUUCUUUACCAUAUUGACUAAGCAAUAUUAACUAAACAAUAUUAAUAUUCAAUGUUUAAUACAGGCCCUCUCUUGGCUUUCUUAUAGGCUUUCUAGGUUUGAUAGUUUUUGGAAAUGGUGUUAUGUGAUUCAGCAAUUAAAUUCUAAGAUUUUUUUUUUUUUUAUCCUGUGCGUAGGUAACGAUUUAAUCUGGAGGAAAGCAUGUGAAGCAGUUCAAGGUGUAGCUGGUGUUUUUGAUGCAUGAGGGAAUGGUACUAGCAGAAUUCAUGUUGAUUAGCCCCCAUGAUGCUGACCUUCAGCAACAACUCCACACCUGAGCCCUUGGUCAGAGCUGUGCCACAGCUAUGCCCAUAAGUGGGUACAUAUUUUCCACAAACACCACUUUUAAACAACCUUAAUCAAAAACAGUGGGUACAGGUGGUCUUUAAACAAACUGGUAUUGGUGGUUUUACUCAAUAUACACUGGUACUAGUCCUCUUUAAACAAAACUGAGAAAGUUGGUGGAUCGCUCGCCGUAAUGCUAAUUACAAACAGGUACUGGUGCAUGUUCAACAACACUGACUAUGCAACUGGUACAGAUUUUUUAACAUUCCUGUGGGGAAAACACAUGCAAACACACACAGGUGACCUUUAUAGACCACUCCAAUUGGAAGAGAAUGCUGAAAAACACUGGUACAGGGGCUUUUUUCCUCCUUUUUACCCCACUAUGCAGGUGAUCUUGACACACCCAUGCAAAAAAUGAGCCUAUACUGGUAUUUGUAAACUGAUCUAAACACAGCUGCUCCAGGUGAUCUUUAUAUACAUGUUCAAACCCACACUGGCCCAGGUGAGCUUGAUAAUCACCUGUGACUGAAGACGAAUGAAGAGCAUGGAGGCAGGUGUCUAGGUUUGUCACAGUACCUCAGUCUCCGGUAACACGCACACCGGUGAAGCAGGACGUUCUGGUACGUGACAAGACGAGGUCCUCACCUGCCAUCUUGGAGUUCAUGUCCAUGGACCCGCCCAUCUUCCGCUCAGUAAACAGAUUAUCCUGGUCGGGGUCGCAGUGGAUCCCAGGAACACACGCAUUCGCGCUCAUUCACGUCUAGGAGUAAUCUAGUCGCUGAUCCACAUGAAUGCCCUUGGAAAGGGAAAGGAAACUGGAAAACCCCGCUGGAGGGAACCCACAGCAAUAAAUGGAGAACAGGUGAAAGUCAAACACUACCUGCCCCCCCCCCCCCCCCCACACACUAUUAAUCAUAUCUUUCUAAAUUAUUUAAAGGUUUCUACACCUCAUUCCGGAGCCAGAAAACUAGUUUUGAUGUAACGUUGCUGGAGACCGAAGAGGUUUAAAAAAAAAAAAAAAAAUCCAGUGCAUGAAAUCAAGCUAAUUAAAGAGGACCUUUACAUGUAGUGUGGUUUUAGAUCAUGUCUCACGGAAAUCCCCAGAGAUCAGUCGUCUUAUGCAGGUAACUAGUUUCUGUUUUCACGUGUACAAACAUUCACUGUGGUCAUAUGACAUGACAAUGAGGAAAAAAAAAUUUUUUGGUAUGUCCUAAUGACAGUGCAGAAAUUCUAUAGAAAGAACCUUAAAUUAUUGUUGCCUGAUGAAAUCUCACAAUGAGGAACUAAAAAUACUGUGGCUCACCAUUGGGGUGGGGGGGACUGCUAUGAACACUGCACUAAAAACCAACUGCUAUUUUAAAACUUGAGUGGGAAAUACAGAAUACACGAACAAAGCAGAAGGAGUGACGUGUAUGUGGAUCAGAGUGAUGUGUGAAUGUAUAUUUUAUGAAUAUGUAAUAGAAUUCAGCAGUAGAGAUUACAUGGGAAAGAGGGGGAGGACAAAACGUAAAGACAAACCUUUCUUUCUCCUGCGGAGAAUCAGCAAGGCCAAGACUAAACCCACACACAUCACGAUUAUCACGGCAAUAGCUGCGUAUCCUGUGGUCAAUUUACUGUUCUCUGGAAUUUCAUCUGCAGAACAACAACAAAAAAAGCAGUCCUGACUUAACCACAAUGAUUACUACAUAAAUCUCUACCUGGUUAUUGAGUAAUUAACUGAGGGAUGUUAUUUUAAAUCGGUGUACAAGUACAGAAGCUUUAGUUUUAGGGUUUAUUAGGUAUUACUAGAUAUUAGCUAGAAAUCAUUAAUGUGCUAGCAUGGCUGGACGAAUCAGUCCAUGAGUGUGAUGCAGCUUGACCCUAUGGCAUGCUACUCGUUCUAAAUCCCACCGCCUGCUGCGCUACAAACAUCGACUUUUGCUAGUUAGAUUAAUUAGCAUGAAGACGGAUGGGCAUUUUAGAAUUUGGAACACACAGGUAUGCAGAGUAAAAAAAGGGUCAUACAGUAACUCUCAUGCUAGGACAAUAAAAUAGACACUAGCCAGACUCAAAAAUCUUUUUUACGUCUGAACCUUGGCCAAUGACUUGCUGAAUUUUCGAAGAAGGCGCAAAUACAUGGUUCAUACUUCAGACACUUCCUUAGAAAGGGAUAAUGACUAUAAGCAAGAUGCCGUUCUGCAGGAAUUUCUAUAUUCAUUUGUGUCUGUAUUAAUGGACUAAACUAGCUAAUUAGUGCGACAUAAUUUAUUAUGUUUUAGCCUAGGUGAUCAGGUUUCUUGGCAACUAAAUUGUGCAGCAUCCUGUGAAAUUUUUUAUUAUUAUUAUUUUUAUUUUUUUCCAGAACCCGGUAUUUCAUUUCAUUUCCCUUUCGAUUCUUGUACUAACUUGCCUUUGUUAGCAUAGGUACCAGCUUAUAUGAGCUCGACUGACAUUCCUUUAUGCUUGCAGUUAUUUGUGAUUUUAGCCAAUGAUUAUGAUAGAUAUGUAAUCUGAUGGAAGCUAUAAUCCAUUCGGAAUGUAUGACUAGUGGAAAAUCAGAUUUUCCUAUUAAUGCUGAAAUUCUGCCAGAGAUAAGACCUGGCAGUGAUUGAGUUAUUUUGUGAGUAACUUGAGUCAUAAAUAGUAAGUCUGAAACAAGUCAUAAGCAUUGAAAAAUGUGAGGCAGGUUAUCGGUUGUAGUUGUGUACUUGGUGACUCAUAAAUCUCAUGGUCAUAAACCCGAUGCCAUGUUUCAUAGUUCAUGACAGUAACAUUACAGUGCACUGGAAAUCUAGAGUACAGCACUGUAUGUAAUGCUUAUUUUAUACAAUAAUGCUGUCCCAUUUUGUUGAAAAGUGCCAGAAAUUCUGAAGUUGACUGUUUAUAUUGGUUACUGAAUGGGUUCCAUACUAAUUGUUCUUUGCAGAUCAAGUGCAUUAUGGGUAUUCAGUAUAGCAGUGCAUUGUGGGAUUUCAUGAGCACACUAGAUAGCCUUCACUAUACUUGUGUACAUAGGUACAACAUGGCAAAACUGUGGCGUCGUGUGGUUUAAACCACCAUUUUUAUGAUGAUUUAGAACCGAUUACUGGUUGCUUCUCUUCCUGGUGGUUUUGGUGUGGUUUUGCCAGCUUACAGAACUUGAAGUUCCAGUUAAAUUCGCAAAUAAAAGUUCAGAGGAAAUACUCAUUUUCGUUCAAGUGAGUGAGUGAUUGAUUUUUGAUCUAGACUUGCUGCAUAUACUGUUUAAUCAUUCAUGCAGACACACUAUACAGUUACAGUGUGGUGAAAAAACUUAAAGUAUAAUCUUCCAAAGUCAUUUACCAUGUUCUGUGCUCACGUGUAAUGUUACAACAUAUUUGCAUGAAUAGUUUAAAAAAAAUAAUAAAGAAAGAAAAUAAAAUCGGUUUAAUGCUCACAGAAGACUGUGGUCCUGUGUUGACGUGCAUAAAACAACUGCAUACCCAUGUUUAAUACUAGUGAAAUGCUUCUCACCUUUUUGUGUGUGUAUGUGCUUCUUUUUUUUAAAUCAACACUUAAGGUGAAGGCCCACUGUGAUCAAAUAACAUCCCACACAACUAACCUCACAACCACUGUGGUCUAGCACGUUGGCGUGUAUAUUUGUACAUCCAUGUUGCUUGGAAAUACACAUUAGUCAUGAAUGAAUCCGGAACCAUCCUCAGUGGCUGAGCACAGUUUCUAUAAUAAGGAUAUUCGUUACCAGAAGAAAAUUGCCAAGAAUUAAGACAAUCCCAUCGAAUUCAAACUUUCAAGAGGGGGCGAAUGAAGGAGCUUUGUAACUGUGGAUUAUUGACGCCACUCUUUUAGCAUCCAACUCAAGCGGCUUAAUGGCACUGGAAACAAACCAAAACACUCAAAACAUGUCAACUCAAACCACUCAAGAGCGUAACUCAAACCAAGCCACUCAAAAGCAUGUAUCAAACCAAAAACCACCCAAAAGAGCGUAACUCGAACCAAGCCACUCAAAAGAGCGUAACUCGAACCAAGCCACUCAAAAGAGCGUAACUCAAACCAAGCCACUCAAAAGGGCGUAACUCAAACCAAGCCACUCAAAAGGGCGUAACUCAAACCAAGCCACUCAAAAGGGCGUAACUCAAACCAAACCACUCAAGAGCGUAACUCAAACCAAAGCACUCAAUACGCUUUAACUCAAUCCAAUUGACGACACUUAACUUAAACGGCUCAAUAGCACUCAAAUCAAACUCUAACUCUGCAUGGCUGCAGACCUUGGUAGUGAGUCAGUAGAAUUUAAGAACACAAACUGCAGUGAAAAAAAAAAAAGAAAAAAAAAAAAAGAACUGCUAAUUAAGUACUCAU
This is a long non-coding RNA of Ictalurus furcatus (blue catfish), 4997 nucleotides long. RefSeq lists it as uncharacterized. The transcript is spliced from 3 exons. NCBI's taxonomy places the organism in Eukaryota, Metazoa, Chordata, Actinopteri, Siluriformes, Ictaluridae. The record is from RefSeq and is a predicted model, not a curated record.